GUAAGGAGAAAAAUCGCACAAAAUCCACGCUUCCGGCUUCAUGCACUUUCCCAUUCAAUCAUUGCCAUUGGCAAUAUUAAAUGUUAAGGCCGCAGUUAGGUCCAGUGUAGGUAGUAUUCUACAAUAAGCUGUCGUGGUUUGUGUCUGAACUACCUGAAAAAGAUAUCUCAAACGUGGUGGUCCAGUGUAGGUAGUAUUCUAUAAUAAGCUGUCGUGGUUUGUGUCUGAACUACCUGAAAAAGAUAUCUCAAACGUGGUGGUCCAGUGUAGG
Molecule: non-coding RNA, 271 nt
Organism: Paramuricea clavata
Lineage: Eukaryota; Metazoa; Cnidaria; Anthozoa; Malacalcyonacea; Plexauridae
Source: the annotation of a GenBank genome assembly